This 1995-nucleotide unclassified non-coding RNA is filed under the name uncultured fungus. Its description in RNAcentral is "sequence contains 18S rRNA gene, ITS1, 5.8S rRNA gene, ITS2, 28S rRNA gene". The stretch from base 899 to 1995 matches the Rfam family "Eukaryotic large subunit ribosomal RNA", at positions 1 to 961 of the family's 3401-position model. Lineage: Eukaryota; Fungi. The record is from RNAcentral.
GGAGGGAUCAUUAAACAAAACACCCAAAGUCUGUGGUGCGCCCCCCAGGGGUGUGCUGCAGCAAACAGACACUGGUAUGACUAAAUGUGAUUAUAGAAUUUUCUAAACCAUUAAAUCAGUGACACCAACCAAUGUGUUGGGUAGAGUCGUGAGGCAGAACACUUGAAGUGUGUUGUGAGCUACAGAGUCGUUGUCUAUGCUAGGAUUAGUAACUGUGAUGUACUUUACAGUGAAAACCCCUUUGUGUGGCAACUCUCUUCACACACAUAGACUGGUAAGUAUCCAAAUGGCACUACUUGACACACUUGUGAGGUGUUGCACACUGUGACAUAGAUCAAUGUGUUGGUGCAGGUUGUGAGGUGAACAACUGAAUGACCAUACUGACACCACUUGUGAAGUGUUGCAAAAAACAAUAAAUUAUACAACUCUCAGCGAUGGAUCCCUAGGCUCCUCUAUCGAUGAAGAGCACAGCGAAAUGUGAUAAGUAAUACGAAUUGCAGAAUACAGUGAGUCAUCGAAAUCUUGAACGCAUUGCACCGUCGGGGUAACCUGGCGGUAUGCCCCAUUGAGUGUCAUUUUUCAAUAAGCAAAGCAUUCACAAAAAUCAUUGUGGAAGCGCAUCGACCCGCGCCACAAGGUGUAGGUUGGUGGACUUGGAUUUCAGUGAACCAUUUGGUUGGUGAGUUGACUUCUUAAAUUAUAAAAGGACCACACUAUAACAGUUGGUGAAGUGGAGCAUUGACUCCACAACAGGCUUCGUCUAGAUGAGCAUUUAUUGCAUCAACCUGACUUAGCAAUCUGUCCGACUCGAGUAUGUGAGGUUCUCUCUAUUGAGAAAAAUAAACACUUCCUCAGUUUGUAGUGCCUUGAAAAAAAAGGGUACACAAAAACAACACUAUGACCUCAAUUGGGACAUGACUACUUGCUGAACUUAAGCAUAUCAAUAAGCAAAGGAAAAGAAAUUAACAAAGAUUCCCUCAGUAACUGCGAGUGAAGCGGGAAUAGCUCAAUCUCUAAUCUGCCGUGGACAUCUGCGGCCGAAUUGUAGUUUUGUGAUCAGCUUCAAGUCCUGACACAGGAUCUAAGUCUCCUGGAACGGAGCACCAAAGAAGGUGAUAGUCCUGUGAGAUCCUGUGGAUGGGGCAUAUGUUGCUGUAUCAACGAGUCGAGUUGUUUUGUAGUACAGCUCAAAAUGGGUGGUAUGUUCCAUCUAAAGCUAAAUAUCAGAGAGGAGACCGAUAGCAAACAAGUACCGUGAGGGAAAGGUGAAAAGAACCUUGAAAAGAGGGUGAAAAGUGCGUGAAAUUGCUGAGAGGGAAGCAGACACACUCAUUAUUGCUGUGUCCAAAUCAAUUGUCACUGGGCAGCGUGGUGGUGUAAGGAUGGACAUUAUUGUUCACCAAGCAUUAUCAUUAAGUUCUGUGGCAGUGCACUUUGGAUGUGGCAACCACCGGCCCUGCGACUUGGAGGAUAAAGCCUUGUGCUUGGAAGCAGCAUUUGCUGUGAAGGCAUGGGGUGGGACUUUAGGUUUCAUGGACGAACUGAGCGGCAUUAUCUGGCCUGGUUGGGGCAGUGUAGGUGCUAGUGCUAAGACAAGGCAACUUGUCCGGUGCUGGUGUUGAAUCUCGCUUCAGCUGGUGCAGAUGUCGCGCAUGGUGGGAUAUUUGGGUGCGUCCGUCCCGUCUUGAAACACGGACCAAGGAGUUUAACUUGUAUGCAAGUGCGAGAGUUUAAAACUUUUGCGCGAAGUGAAAGCAAUUGUGGGAAAGGAGCUGAGAGUAGGCCCUUGCACCACAGACCGAUCUAGAGACAUGUCAAAGGAUUCGAGUUGGAGCAUAUAAGUUAAGACCCGAAAGAUUACGAACUAUACUUGUGUAGAACGAAGCCAGAAGAAAUCCUGGUGGAAGUUCGAAACGGUUCUGACGUGCAAAUCGAUCGUCAAACAUGAGCAUAGCGGCGAAAGACUAAUCGAGUAAUCUAGUAGCUGGUUCCUUC